UACGUAGGGAGCAAGCGUUGUCCGGAAUCAUUGGGCGUAAAGCGCGCGUAGGUGGCUUCAUAAGUCCGUUGUGAAAGUCAAAGGCUCAACCUUUGAAAGCCGAUGGAUACUGUGAAGCUAGAGUACGGAAGAGGCGAGUGGAAUUCCUGGUGUAGCGGUGGAAUGCGCAGAUAUCAGGAGGAACACCAAUAGCGAAGGCAGCUCGCUGGGACGUUACUGACACUGAGACGCGAAAGCGUGGGGAGCAAACAGG
RNAcentral lists this ribosomal RNA (253 nucleotides) under uncultured bacterium. RNAcentral describes it as "partial 16S ribosomal RNA". It matches the Rfam family "Bacterial small subunit ribosomal RNA", at positions 524 to 776 of the family's 1533-position model. The record is from RNAcentral.